ACAGGGAUUGCCCUAGUAACGGCGAGUGAAGCGGCAACAGCUCAAAUUUGAAAUCUGGCGUCUUUGGCGUCCGAGUUGUAAUUUGCAGAGGGCGCUUUGGCAUUGGCAGCGGUCCAAGUUCCUUGGAACAGGACGUCACAGAGGGUGAGAAUCCCGUACGUGGUCGCUAGCCUUUACCGUGUAAAGCCCCUUCGACGAGUCGAGUUGUUUGGGAAUGCAGCUCUAAAUGGGAGGUAAAUUUCUUCUAAAGCUAAAUACUGGCCAGAGACCGAUAGCGCACAAGUAGAGUGAUCGAAAGAUGAAAAGCACUUUGGAAAGAGAGUUAAAAAGCACGUGAAAUUGUUGAAAGGGAAGCGCUUGCAGCCAGACUUGCCUGUAGUUGCUCAUCCGGGUUUCUACCCGGUGCACUCUUCUAUAGGCAGGCCAGCAUCAGUUUGGGCGGUUGGAUAAAGGUCUCUGUCAUGUACCUCCUUUCGGGGAGAACUUAUAGGGGAGACGACAUGCAACCAGCCCGGACUGAGGUCCGCGCAUCUGCUAGGAUGCUGGCGUAAUGGCUGUAAGCGGCCCGUCUUGAAACACGGACCAAGGAGUCUAACAUCUAUGCGAGUGUUUGGGUGUCAAGCCCGAGCGCGUAAUGAAAGUGAACGGAGGUGGGAACCUUUCGGGGUGCACCAUCGACCGAUCCUGAUGUCUUCGGAUGGAUUUGAGUAAGAGCAUAGCUGUUGGGACCCGAAAGAUGGUGAACUAUGCUUGAAUAGGGUGAAGCCAGAGGAAACUCUGGUGGAGGCUCGCAGCGGUUCUGACGUGCAAAUCGAUCGUCAAAUUUGGGCAUAGGGGCGAAAGACUAAUCGAACUAUCUAGUAGCUGGUUCCUGCCGAAGUUUCCCUCAGGAUAGCAGUAACGUUUUCAGUUUUAUGAGGUAAAGCGAAUGAUUAGAGGCAUGGGGGUUGAAACAACCUU
RNAcentral lists this ribosomal RNA (960 nucleotides) under Leptosphaerulina trifolii. RNAcentral's name for it is "partial large subunit ribosomal RNA". It matches the Rfam family "Eukaryotic large subunit ribosomal RNA", at positions 68 to 1048 of the family's 3401-position model. Lineage: Eukaryota; Fungi; Ascomycota; Dothideomycetes; Pleosporales; Didymellaceae. RNAcentral also lists the same sequence under 1 other name. The record is from RNAcentral.